This 477-nucleotide ribosomal RNA is filed under the name uncultured bacterium. RNAcentral describes it as "bacterial SSU rRNA". It matches the Rfam family "Bacterial small subunit ribosomal RNA", at positions 15 to 518 of the family's 1533-position model. The record is from RNAcentral.
GAUCCUGGCUCAGGAUGAACGCUGGCGGCGUGCCUAACACAUGCAAGUCGAGCGAUUCUCUUCGGAGAAGAGCGGCGGACGGGUGAGUAACGCGUGGGUAACCUGCCUCAUACACAUGGAUAACAUACCGAAAGGUAUGCUAAUACAGGAUAAUAUAAGAGAUUCACAUGGAUUUCUUAUCAAAGCUCCGGCGGUAUGAGAUGGACCCGCGUCUGAUUAGCUAGUUGGUAAGGUAACGGCUUACCAAGGCGACGAUCAGUAGCCGACCUGAGAGGGUGAUCGGCCACAUUGGAACUGAGACACGGUCCAAACUCCUACGGGAGGCAGCAGUGGGGAAUAUUGCACAAUGGGCGAAAGCCUGAUGCCAGCAACGCCGCGUGAGUGAUGAAGGCCUUCGGGUCGUAAAACUCUGUCCUCAAGGAAGAUAAUGACGGUACUUGAGGAGGAAGCCCCGGCUAACUACGUGCCAGCAGCGGC